Long non-coding RNA from Cyprinus carpio (common carp), 1197 nucleotides. RefSeq lists it as uncharacterized. The transcript is spliced from 3 exons. The record is from RefSeq and is a predicted model, not a curated record. Lineage: Eukaryota; Metazoa; Chordata; Actinopteri; Cypriniformes; Cyprinidae.
CAUAACUGGACCUUCCAGGUGAAAAAGACAGGUGACGAAUGUUGGACUUGUCCAAUAAAUUUGCCUGCAUUUAAAAAUCCAAUCAAUAUCUGAUGAAUAGAACCAAGACCCUAUCCUACAUUUUUUCUUUAUUGAUAAUCUGUUACAGUCAGACGCAUGUCACACUAUGGAAGAAAAGAUCUGUCACUACUUCUGUUUCACCAUGACUAAGGACUAUUUGACUGAAUGGUUUGUUAAAAGGAAUAAAUGUUUGUUUUUUUAUAUUUCAGUUUGCUCAUCAUAUACUGUACAUUGAUCAGCCUCAACAUUAAAACCACUGACAGAGAGCCUGAUGCUGGGUACAGAGAUGGAUCUGCAGCUGAUGGAGGGCACAGUUGUGGCCUUGGAGAACUCUCUUAAAAUGUGGCUACAUGACCAUGGCGGAGACCGAGAACACCUGCGAUUGUUGUUACCCCCUCUCUCACAUAACAGGGUUCUACACCACACCCUGCCGACAACAGGCCAAGCCCAGUCUGUUUGAAGUGCAACAUGCAGGAGAGACUUCUCAGCCCAGCCCUACUGACCUUGGAGUGAAGACUGAGAGCAUGCAAGAUUUCCAGCCCCCAAACAAAAGUCUGGCCAAUCAGAACCCCUCAUCGCAGUGUCUAAGAGUUGUCAAGUACAGUCAAGUCUAUAGUUACAUUUUGUUUUACCAGCAAAGCUGUAAGCAAAUGUCAAUAGAUUAGCCUUAAACAUGACUGACAUUUUUUGUGAACAGGAUUUUAUCACAGAGUUCCCAGACUGCUGUGAUGUUGUACUGUAUAUUUCCAUAUAUCACAGAUCUAGGAAAGUCCACAAUAGUAAUGUUCAUAUAUAUUCAACAGGAACACAAAAACUCAAUUUGAAUGUGGCCUCUGAAACAUGGUUAAUGUACAUGUAUGAAGGGGAGAAGAAAAAAUGAACUAUGCAAAAGUCAAUAUGAUGGAGUCAGGUUUUUAUCGAACAAACAGCUCAGUGUGUGAGUCUUCUGUCUGCCACACAGAGUCAUACAUUGUAUUCCCCUUGAGUGUUUUGCAUAUGAUUUUCAUGCACAUGAGGUCAUUCUUCCAAGCACUGUGAUACAAUCAUACUACUUGUCCCCACCUAGUCAUUAUGGGCCAAUAUGACAUAUACUUGCAUAAUUCCCUUUCACACAUGUUUGUCUUUGUCAGUUUUACU